This 975-nucleotide ribosomal RNA is filed under the name Phytophthora cactorum. RNAcentral's name for it is "LSU rRNA". It matches the Rfam family "Eukaryotic large subunit ribosomal RNA", at positions 81 to 851 of the family's 3401-position model. The record is from RNAcentral. Lineage: Eukaryota; Oomycota; Peronosporomycetes; Peronosporales; Peronosporaceae.
UAGUAACGGCGAGUGAAGCGGGAAGAGCUCAAGCUUAAAAUCUCCGUGCAAGUUUUGUGCGGCGAAUUGUAGUCUAUAGAGGCGUGGUCAGCGUGGGCGCUUGGGGCAAGUUCCUUGGAAGAGGACAGCAUGGAGGGUGAUACUCCCGUUCAUCCCUGAGUUGCUCGUGCGUACGGCCCGUUUUCUUUGAGUCGCGUUGUUUGGGAAUGCAGCGCAAAGUAGGUGGUAAAUUCCAUCUAAAGCUAAAUAUUGGUGCGAGACCGAUAGCGAACAAGUACCGUGAGGGAAAGAUGAAAAGAACUUUGAAAAGAGAGUUAAAGAGUACCUGAAACUGCUGAAAGGGAACCGAAUCGUUUCCAGUGUCUAUAAUCCGUGGUAUAUUUCAUUGGCGAGUGUGUGCGUGCGUGUGCUGUGGCAGCGGCUUUUUAGGCUGCGCUCGGCGUGUGUGCUGUGUGUGCUUGCUGGUGCCCUGUACUGCGGUGGGACGUCAAGGUCAGUUCGUAUGCUGCGGGAAAUGGCUGCCGAGGAGGUAGGGCUUACGCUUGCGUUUGUCUGUUAUAUCUUGGUGGACGAGUAGUCGCGGUUGGGACUGAGGUGCCUACAACGUGCUUUUGAGUGGGUUUGUGUCUCCGUGUGCGCCGUGUGCGGAUAGCUUGCUAUGCGUGUGUGGUUGUGUGUGGAUUGAUGCGGGCUUUAACUUGUUGCCGUUCGGGACGUUGACGAAAUGGAGCGAUUCGACCCGUCUUGAAACACGGACCAAGGAGUCUAACAUGUGUGCAAGUGUUAGGGUGUGGAAACCCCAGCGCGAAAUGAAAGUAAAGGGCAACGUAAGUUGUCUGAGGUAGGAAAUGCUGUGGGCUUCGGUCUGCGGUGUGGCACUAUCGACCGAUCAUGAACCUUCGUGGUGAAAGAUUUGAGUUUGAGCACAUAUGUUGGUACCCGAAAGAUGGUGAACUAUGCCUGAGUAGGGUGAAG